GAAACAGCAGCAGCAGCUAGUGGUGGAGAGCACGUGAGCAGUCGUAGGUCCGGUAGCAGCGGCAGGAGCAGCAGAACCUAGCUUCGGUCCUCGAGAGCGGCGAGCCGCUGAGACUCGUACGGGUAGAGGAGGUAGAGGGGCUGGUGAGAAAGUCGCAGGAGGGAGAAGGGCCGGGAGGGGUCGAGGAGGUGGUGGCGGGAGGAGCACUAUACUAGGUGGUGGCGGGGGCGGGACCGGUAUAGGGUGUAGUGGGCGAGGCGGAGGCGCCGGAGGGGCCGGUGGCGCUCGCGCGACUGCUUGCGCAACGUCCUGCCGAGGCAGCCGUAGUAGGGAAACGGGGCGUAAAGGAGCUUGUCGAGGGCCCGCAACAACCACGCCGGGACGCGCGAGUCGGGCGCGUCGUCCAUCGACAUGCACUCCGGCAGGCCGAGCGUCGGCAUCUGCCCGCGGUAGACCACCUUGUGCGCGUCGCGCAGCAACUCCACGUCGCUGACGCGCAUCGGGGACUGCUCGUGCAACUCGCGGGCCCACAGGCCGCCCUACGGGAGGAGGUCGUAGACGGCCUUGUCGCGCCUCUGCCACAGGUACAUGUACAUCACGUGGUACCUCAGCAACGGGGGCGCGCUGUCGUCGCGCCACUUCUCGCGCACCAUCCACAGCCGCCGCCCCGCGCGCCGGCCCAGCCGCCUCCGCGCGUACUCCCACAUCUGCACCUUGCGGAACGGCUCGAACGCCUUGAGCGUCAUCUUCAUCUCCCGCCGGGACUCCUCCCCGGGGCCCCUGCCCUCGCUCCCCUCCUCCCUCUUCUUCUCCCGCGUCCACGCCAGCUUGAGCAGCAUCUCGACCCGCCGCGGGUCCGCGAACUGCCGCUGCUCCUUCCCGGGGCCCAGCCCGGCCUUCCACCCGGCCGGCUCCCUCACCCACUCGUCGCCCUUCUCCUCCGCCUCCAGCCUCCACCUCCGCUCCCUCCUACGCUCCUGCCGGCCACACUCCGCCCUCCCCUCCCUCCGCUACCGUCGCCUCUGCCGCAGCCCUCUGCCGCUGACCGACCCGCGCGCCACCGACGCCGCCUUCGCCACGCCCCACGCCGCCCUCCUCCACCGCUUCCCCUCCGCCACCCUCUCCCUCCGCGGCCGCCCGCACGACGUCUCCUACGCCGCCUCCUCGCACGAGUAGCGCCGCCGCCGCCGCCCCUAUGACGCUGUGCUCAUGUCAGGUGUUUUACGGUGUCUGCCGUAUGUGUUAGGGGGUGGGCCAAUCCGUUGGCGGUGGUUCGUGCUGUGCGAGUGUAGUGUAGUGUCUCGCGAGUUUCGUGUCCGCCGGUUCAGCCGAACGUCUUUCCUACCGGCGGCGCCAGCGGAACCGUUCGGGAGAGGCCGCCGAGGAGGUGAAGGGAACGGGCGCGGCGCGAUAGGGGCGUGGUGAGGCGAAGAAGCGCGCUCCCGCCACACUGCACCGGGAGCGGCAGAGCCGCCGGCGUCAGCCUCUAAGCAGACGAUUCCCCCCGCACGUGUCCGUACAUUAGCUCCUUCAGUACCUGUAAGACCUAUACCGUGUUUCCCGAAGGGUUGCUUCUCUACAGAAGGUGUGGUCAAAAGAAUGCGGUGGAUAGUAUCGCCUCCGAUACGAUCGUUAACUUUUCAAUCGACUAUAGUUUCGUCAUCGAGUCCCCCCGAUAGGUGUCCGACUCGCCACGGCUUAAAGUCGACCCGUAGGUCUGAGAUACUCUUCACUGGGUCUACAUCAACGACGAAACUCGUAGAGGCCCUUAAAGGCUAACCUUGGGACAAGAGUACCACUGAAAGAGCCACGAUAAGAACCCCGUCCUUAAUGUUCCCUCUUUCAACCUCUAUAUGAAAAUGUCCCCCUUUCUCCACGAGUCCAGGAACAACUAGGUCUCGAACAACUGAUAGACUGAAGGUGUGAUCUUUUCCACCCCUUUCAACCACAAAGUACGUGGGUCUAAGGGAACGAACGAUAUCUCAUACUCGGUGGUUCCUGGUUUAGAAAAUUUUGACAUCUUAGUAGUGAAGCCCAACUACGACACCGGUCACGUCCUAAAUUUUAUAGUGCGUGUUUCGAACCAUCGUACUAGUCAAGACCUCUACAAGCACACUUAACCAGUGACCAAAGCUUUUCACCUCGAUGGGAGUUCCGACCCCUACAACAAAGACAGUCACCCUACCCCUCUAAUUUCUAACCCCUUUAGCACUGAUGCUUCUUUCCGUUUAUACAGUAAGUCAACUAAGUUAUAAACAUCCGGGCACUGACUAGUUAACAAGAGACUUCUUAUGGACUGACCACUCAAACGUUUCACGAGUCAACGAAUGUGUUCGUAUUCCCGACGUCGACGGACGUUUAUAAAUGCUACUUUGACUAGGUAUUAUAAAUCUUCCCUUUUCCUGUUCACCUGUCAUGUACAUUUCAUAUACACUGUCGAAUAGAAAUUUCAGGUCUAGUUUAACUCUUACUUUAAAUCUUCCUAGUUUCAGAGAGACACUUGAGGUUGAGCACACUCCUGAGCUAGACGAAAUCCCGUUUUUCCACUUGUUUUUCAUAUACAAAACCUUUGUUACCUUUACACAAAGAAGAUAAGUAUGAUUUCUCGCUAAGCGUUUGUUGUAGGAGUCGUUAAAAGACAGUAGUCCUUUGUACACUGUGCUGAUGCUAUACCAUCCUUUGGAAAACGUGAACCCAUUAACUAUUGAUACCCAGCAUUGAAGUUGAGCAAAAAAAGUUUCUGAAGCGUUUCCCAACAUAAGCAACAUGGCUUAGAAGGCAAGGUUGAAGGUUCAACGUUUAAAUGGAAUAAAAAAAAUCUUGUGGUUCAACGUUUUAAUAGAGUUCUGGGUCACAAAUUCCAGUAGUUGCGGAAAAUGACAGCGUAUUCAAGACAAUAGUAUUCCAAGGAAGAGCUUUUGUGACCUCAUCGAGUAAAAGACCCCAUGUUUUUGGUCCUCAACAACUUAGUAGGAUCCGUGGAUGGUUACGAGUACCGUAGAGCAGGCAACUGGUUAUUUGGUGUUUUAUAGAAUCGUUCUGAACGUGAAAACAUUCGGUACCGUCGUCUGGACUUGGACUGACGAUUUCGAGGGCAUACAUGGUAGAGUUCACGAAUAGACAAAAGCGGUAGUGCGAUUUGGAAACCUGGAUGGAUGUUACGCUGUUACUACUUUAUACAUCUAGAACCUACUACGGUCCGUCGUGACAUCCGUUCAGAGGCCAGAGGCCAAGGUAGCUUUACGUUAUUAAACGGGGAGGAUGCGUAGGAAAGUGUCUCUAUAGGUUAGACUAGGUCAACCCUAUGAUCAGGAGAUCCGAUACGUCUUUCGUCAUCUCAUAGUGUACGUACAAGAAUUUCCUCACGACAUCGACACGGGGUUGAAACACCUGG
RNAcentral lists this ribosomal RNA (3394 nucleotides) under Triticum aestivum (bread wheat). Its description in RNAcentral is "partial small subunit ribosomal RNA". The record is from RNAcentral. Lineage: Eukaryota; Viridiplantae; Streptophyta; Magnoliopsida; Poales; Poaceae.